Molecule: transfer RNA, 71 nt
Filed under: Podosphaera xanthii
Lineage: Eukaryota; Fungi; Ascomycota; Leotiomycetes; Helotiales; Erysiphaceae
Description: tRNA-Arg
Rfam family: tRNA
About the family: Transfer RNA (tRNA) molecules are approximately 80 nucleotides in length. Their secondary structure includes four short double-helical elements and three loops (D, anti-codon, and T loops). Further hydrogen bonds mediate the characteristic L-shaped molecular structure. tRNAs have two regions of fundamental functional importance: the anti-codon, which is responsible for specific mRNA codon recognition, and the 3' end, to which the tRNAs corresponding amino acid is attached (by aminoacyl-tRNA synthetases). tRNAs cope with the degeneracy of the genetic code in two manners: having more than one tRNA (with a specific anti-codon) for a particular amino acid; and 'wobble' base-pairing, i.e. permitting non-standard base-pairing at the 3rd anti-codon position.
Source: RNAcentral
AGGGUAUUAAUUUAAUGGUAAAAUAGGACACUACGGAUGUCAAUUUUGUAGUUCAAGUCUACAAUGCCCUU